This 267-nucleotide ribosomal RNA is filed under the name Escherichia coli. RNAcentral's name for it is "partial 16S ribosomal RNA". It matches the Rfam family "Bacterial small subunit ribosomal RNA", at positions 1 to 264 of the family's 1533-position model. Lineage: Bacteria; Pseudomonadati; Pseudomonadota; Gammaproteobacteria; Enterobacterales; Enterobacteriaceae. The record is from RNAcentral.
AAAUUGAAGAGUUUGAUCAUGGCUCAGAUUGAACGCUGGCGGCAGGCCUAACACAUGCAAGUCGAACGGUAACAGGAAGCAGCUUGCUGCUUCGCUGACGAGUGGCGGACGGGUGAGUAAUGUCUGGGAAACUGCCUGAUGGAGGGGGAUAACUACUGGAAACGGUAGCUAAUACCGCAUAACGUCGCAAGACCAAAGAGGGGGACCUUCGGGCCUCUUGCCAUCGGAUGUGCCCAGAUGGGAUUAGCUAGUAGGUGGGGUAACGGC